Molecule: microRNA precursor, 147 nt
Filed under: Cajanus cajan (pigeon pea)
Lineage: Eukaryota; Viridiplantae; Streptophyta; Magnoliopsida; Fabales; Fabaceae
Description: miRNA gene-KK1_033083
Rfam family: mir-166 microRNA precursor family
About the family: This family represents the plant microRNA (miRNA) precursor mir-166. Animal miRNAs are transcribed as ~70nt precursors and subsequently processed by the Dicer enzyme to give a ~22nt product. In plants the precursor sequences may be longer, and the carpel factory (caf) enzyme appears to be involved in processing.
Source: Rfam by way of RNAcentral
UUUGAGGGGAAUGCUGUCUGGUUCAAGGAGAUGCAUGAGAUCACAUAUCACACUACUUUUCACUUCAUACACCAAACUAUUCUUCACAAAACUUCAUCAAAUUCACAUGUAAUAAUCAUCCUCGGACCAGGCUUCAUUCCUCUCAAU